UGCAUUGAUUCUUUAAACCUGAUGAUUUUUUUUAAUGAAAAAAUGCUAUGCAAAUCAAGUGUGCAAAAAAAUGUCCACGGAGGAAAGGGUUAUAAAACACAAAAAUGCUUAUUUUAUGCCCCCUUUUUGGCCCCUUAUUCAUAAAAUAAUGGGAUCAUAACCCCCUAAAUCAAUCCCAACCUUCCAUUAGUGAUAUUUAACUUUCUGGUAAAAAUUUAUAGAGAUCCAUUCACUAAAACUAAAGUUAUUGUCUGGAAACUAAAUGUGUCUUCGGCAUGAUAGUAUAGUGUACAAGAUUGUAUAAAAAUGAACUAAUUGAUACAUAUAUAAUGCCAAGGCUGUUAGUUAGCACCAGAAGCAAGGAAACAGCGCACAUAUUUUGUGUCACGGAAUAGCAGUUCCUUCCUAAUGUAAGUUCCAAAUGGAAAAAAUAAAACUGAGGCUGACAGCCGAAGUGAAUAUCAGUUUUUCAUAAGUCAAUUAAACCCCAUAUUUACCGAAACAAAAGACAGUUAUUGUUUUAUUCCAUAUUCCAAGAAAAGAAAAUGAUUUAACAACAAACAAUAUUGUACCAGCACAAAGUUUACAUAAAACGUUUUCCGUAGCGUUGCAUGACUAAAAGCACAUGACGGUUAGCGUGGUGAAUAACACUUUCUCAGGUGAAUAUGCUUUUUUAUUCAAAAUCCAAUUCGUAUGGAGAAACCUACUAAAAUAAUACCAAUAUAGAAUAAUAUAGAAUAUUUGUUCUAUCAGGUACAAGUAUU
This 764-nucleotide long non-coding RNA is filed under the name Mytilus galloprovincialis (Mediterranean mussel). The record is from RNAcentral. Lineage: Eukaryota; Metazoa; Mollusca; Bivalvia; Mytilida; Mytilidae.